CAGCCUGCAACCCGGCUGCACGAAGCCGGAAUCGCUAGUAAUCGCAGAUCAGCAUGCUGCGGUGAAUACGUUCCCGGGUCUUGUACACACCGCCCGUCACACCAUGGGAGUCGGAAAUGCCCGAAGUCAGUGGCCCAACCGCAAGGAGGGAGCUGCCGAAGGCAGGUCCGGUGACUGGGGUGAAGUCGUAACAAGGUACC
RNAcentral lists this ribosomal RNA (200 nucleotides) under uncultured bacterium. RNAcentral describes it as "partial 16S ribosomal RNA". It matches the Rfam family "Bacterial small subunit ribosomal RNA", at positions 1301 to 1500 of the family's 1533-position model. The record is from RNAcentral.